CAAUAGCGUAUAUUUAAGUUGCUGCAGUUAAAAAGCUCGUAGUUGGAUUUCGGUUAAGAGCGACCGGUCCGCCGUUUGGUGUGCACUGGUUGGUUUUAACUUCCUGUAGAGGACGUGCUCUGGGUUUAACGACCUGGACUCGGAGUCUACGUGGUUACUUUGAAAAAAUUAGAGUGUUCAAAGCGGGCUUACGCUUGAAUAUUUCAGCAUGGAAUAACACUAUAGGACUCCUGUCCUAUUUCGUUGGUCUCGGGACGGGAGUAAUGAUUAAGAGGAACAGUUGGGGGCAUUCGUAUUUCAUUGUCAGAGGUGAAAUUCUUGGAUUUAUGAAAGACGAACUUCUGCGAAAGCAUUUGCCAAGGAUGUUUNCAUUA
Molecule: ribosomal RNA, 374 nt
Filed under: uncultured eukaryote
Lineage: Eukaryota
Description: partial 18S ribosomal RNA
Rfam family: Eukaryotic small subunit ribosomal RNA
Source: RNAcentral